UGAACGCUGGCGGCGUGCUUAACACAUGCAAGUCGAACGAAGCACUUUAUUACGAUUUCUUCGGAAUGACGAUUUAGUGACUGAGUGGCGGACGGGUGAGUAACGCGUGGGUAACCUGCCUUAUACAGGGGGAUAACAGUUAGAAAUGACUGCUAAUACCGCAUAAGCGCACAGGAUUGCAUGAUCUGGUGUGAAAAACUCCGGUGGUAUAAGAUGGACCCGCGUCUGAUUAGCUGGUUGGUGAGGUAACGGCCCACCAAGGCGACGAUCAGUAGCCGACCUGAGAGGGUGACCGGCCACAUUGGGACUGAGACACGGCCCAAACUCCUACGGGAGGCAGCAGUGGGGAAUAUUGCACAAUGGGGGAAACCCUGAUGCAGCGACGCCGCGUGAGUGAAGAAGUAGUUCGCUAUGUAAAGCUCUAUCAGCAGGGAAGAUAGUGACGGUACCUGACUAAGAAGCUCCGGCUAAAUACGUG
RNAcentral lists this ribosomal RNA (478 nucleotides) under uncultured bacterium. Its description in RNAcentral is "bacterial SSU rRNA". It matches the Rfam family "Bacterial small subunit ribosomal RNA", at positions 30 to 507 of the family's 1533-position model. The record is from RNAcentral.